Molecule: small RNA, 76 nt
Filed under: Pedobacter sp. SG908
Lineage: Bacteria; Pseudomonadati; Bacteroidota; Sphingobacteriia; Sphingobacteriales; Sphingobacteriaceae
Also listed under: 1 other name
Description: Flavo-1 RNA
Rfam family: Flavo-1 RNA
Source: RNAcentral
GGUUCGCAUGACGGAUAGCAGUGGAAAUCCUUUUUUAAUUUUUCUUCAAAGAUUGUAACGGAUAGCCUGACCCUUU